CAGGUGGUAGUAUAAUCAGUACGAAGUGUUCCGAGACAUUCCACAAAAACACGGCUCGUCUGAGUAUACUGGGGAUUCCCCUCUGGUACGUCUCCAACUCGCCUCGCAGUGUCAUACAGCCAGAAACACAGCCUGGGUCCUGCUGGGCCUUUCAGGGUGAUAAGGGCCACCUUGUGAUUGAGUUAUCAGACAACAUCACCCCCACAGCCUUCACCCUGGAGCACAUCCCCAAGUCCCUGGCCCCCGAGGGAAAAAUUGAUAGUGCCCCCAAAGACUUUACAGUCAUUGGCCUGAACAAUGAAAAUGACAAAGUAGGAGAGCGUUUAGGAAACUUCACCUAUACAGAUAGGGGACCCCCUCUACAGACGUUCAAAGUACAGAAGCCUAAUGUUGGUGUCUACAAGUUUGUUCAACUGAGUAUUUUAAGUAACCAUGGAAAUCCAUUGUAUACAUGCCUAUACAGAUUCAGGGUGCAUGGUAUACCACACAAACCAAAGAAAAGGGAGAAAAAUUAACCUCAUAUGGAGCUAUACACAAACUUGAAAAAAGAUCUGUGAAUAGAGUUUUUCACAGAAUAAGAUUUACCAAUGCAAAAAUAGUGGAAUCUGUGAUAAUCAUAAUAUUGGUGUCUUUAAA
Long non-coding RNA from Saccostrea cuccullata (small rock oyster), 636 nucleotides. RefSeq lists it as uncharacterized. The record is from RefSeq and is a predicted model, not a curated record. NCBI's taxonomy places the organism in Eukaryota, Metazoa, Mollusca, Bivalvia, Ostreida, Ostreidae. The transcript is spliced from 4 exons.